AUUGAACGCUGGCGGCAGGCCUAACACAUGCAAGUCGAGCGGAUGAAGGGAGCUUGCUCCUGGAUUCAGCGGCGGACGGGUGAGUAAUGCCUAGGAAUCUGCCUGGUAGUGGGGGAUAACGUCCGGAAACGGGCGCUAAUACCGCAUACGUCCUGAGGGAGAAAGUGGGGGAUCUUCGGACCUCACGCUAUCAGAUGAGCCUAGGUCGGAUUAGCUAGGUGGUGGGGUAAGGCCUACCAAGGAGACGAUCCGUAACUGGUCUGAGAGGAUGAUCAGUCACACUGGAACUGAGACACGGUCCAGACUCCUACGGGAGGCAGCAGUGGGGAAUAUUGGACAAUGGGCGAAAGCCUGAUCCAGCCAUGCCGCGUGUGUGAAGAAGGUCUUCGGAUUGUAAAGCACUUUAAGUUGGGAGGAAGGGCAGUAAGUUAAUACCUUGCUGUUUUGACGUUACCAACAGAAUAAGCACCGGCUAACUUCGUG
This 483-nucleotide ribosomal RNA is filed under the name uncultured bacterium. RNAcentral's name for it is "partial 16S ribosomal RNA". It matches the Rfam family "Bacterial small subunit ribosomal RNA", at positions 30 to 507 of the family's 1533-position model. The record is from RNAcentral.